RNAcentral lists this ribosomal RNA (253 nucleotides) under uncultured bacterium. RNAcentral's name for it is "partial 16S ribosomal RNA". It matches the Rfam family "Bacterial small subunit ribosomal RNA", at positions 524 to 776 of the family's 1533-position model. The record is from RNAcentral.
GACGAACCGUGCGAACGUUAUUCGGAAUCACUGGGCUUAAAGGGCGCGUAGGCGGGUUGCCAAGUCUGUGGUGAAAUCCUCCAGCUUAACUGGAGAACGGCCGUGGAUACUGGCGACCUCGAGGGGGGUAGGGGCUUGCGGAACUGUGCGUGGAGCGGUGAAAUGCGUUGAUAUGCACAGGAACGCCGGUGGCGAAGGCGGCGAGCUGGACCCUUUCUGACGCUGAGGCGCGAAAGCCAGGGGAGCGAACGGG